GGUCAAGUGAAGAAGCGCAUACGGUGGAUGCCUUGGCAGUCAGAGGCGAUGAAAGACGUGGUAGCCUGCGAAAAGCUUCGGGGAGUCGGCAAACAGACUUUGAUCCGGAGAUCUCUGAAUGGGGGAACCCAGCCAUCAUAAGAUGGUUAUCUUGUACUGAAUACAUAGGUGCAAGAGGCGAACCAGGGGAACUGAAACAUCUAAGUACCCUGAGGAAAAGAAAUCAACCGAGAUUCCCUUAGUAGUGGCGAGCGAACGGGGACUAGCCCUUAAGUGGCUUUGAGAUUAGCGGAACGCUCUGGAAAGUGCGGCCAUAGUGGGUGAUAGCCCUGUACGCGAAAAUCUCUUAGUCAUGAAAUCGAGUAGGACGGAGCACGAGAAACUUUGUCUGAAUAUGGGGGGACCAUCCUCCAAGGCUAAAUACUACUGACUGACCGAUAGUGAACUAGUACCGUGAGGGAAAGGCGAAAAGAACCCCGGAGAGGGGAGUGAAAUAGAUCCUGAAACCGUAUGCGUACAAGCAGUGGGAGCAGACUUUGUUCUGUGACUGCGUACCUUUUGUAUAAUGGGUCAGCGACUUAUUUUCAGUGGCGAGCUUAACCGAAUAGGGGAGGCGUAGCGAAAGCGAGUCUUAAUAGGGCGUCUAGUCGCUGGGAAUAGACCCGAAACCGGGCGAUCUAUCCAUGGGCAGGUUGAAGGUUAGGUAACACUGACUGGAGGACCGAACCGACUACCGUUGAAAAGUUAGCGGAUGACCUGUGGAUCGGAGUGAAAGGCUAAUCAAGCUCGGAGAUAGCUGGUUCUCCUCGAAAGCUAUUUAGGUAGCGCCUCAUGUAUCACUGUAGGGGGUAGAGCACUGUUUCGGCUAGGGGGUCAUCCCGACUUACCAAACCGAUGCAAACUCCGAAUACCUACAAGUGCCGAGCAUGGGAGACACACGGCGGGUGCUAACGUCCGUCGUGAAAAGGGAAACAACCCAGACCGUCAGCUAAGGUCCCAAAGUUAUGGUUAAGUGGGAAACGAUGUGGGAAGGCUUAGACAGCUAGGAGGUUGGCUUAGAAGCAGCCACCCUUUAAAGAAAGCGUAAUAGCUCACUAGUCGAGUCGGCCUGCGCGGAAGAUGUAACGGGGCUCAAACCAUACACCGAAGCUACGGGUAUCAUCUUAGGAUGAUGCGGUAGAGGAGCGUUCUGUAAGCCUGUGAAGGUGAGUUGAGAAGCUUGCUGGAGGUAUCAGAAGUGCGAAUGCUGACAUGAGUAACGACAAUGGGUGUGAAAAACACCCACGCCGAAAGACCAAGGUUUCCUGCGCAACGUUAAUCGACGCAGGGUUAGUCGGUCCCUAAGGCGAGGCUGAAAAGCGUAGUCGAUGGAAAACAGGUUAAUAUUCCUGUACUUCUGGUUAUUGCGAUGGAGGGACGGAGAAGGCUAGGCCAGCUUGGCGUUGGUUGUCCAAGUUUAAGGUGGUAGGCUGAGAUCUUAGGUAAAUCCGGGAUCUUAAGGCCGAGAGCUGAUGACGAGUUACCCUUUGGGUGACGAAGUGGUUGAUGCCAUGCUUCCAAGAAAAGCUUCUAAGCUUCAGGUAACCAGGAACCGUACCCCAAACCGACACAGGUGGUUGGGUAGAGAAUACCAAGGCGCUUGAGAGAACUCGGGUGAAGGAACUAGGCAAAAUGGCACCGUAACUUCGGGAGAAGGUGCGCCGGUGAGGGUGAAGGACUUGCUCCGUAAGCUCAUGCCGGUCGAAGAUACCAGGCCGCUGCGACUGUUUAUUAAAAACACAGCACUCUGCAAACACGAAAGUGGACGUAUAGGGUGUGACGCCUGCCCGGUGCCGGAAGGUUAAUUGAUGGGGUUAGCUAACGCGAAGCUCUUGAUCGAAGCCCCGGUAAACGGCGGCCGUAACUAUAACGGUCCUAAGGUAGCGAAAUUCCUUGUCGGGUAAGUUCCGACCUGCACGAAUGGCGUAACGAUGGCGGCGCUGUCUCCACCCGAGACUCAGUGAAAUUGAAAUCGCUGUGAAGAUGCAGUGUAUCCGCGGCUAGACGGAAAGACCCCGUGAACCUUUACUAUAGCUUUGCACUGGACUUUGAAUUUGCUUGUGUAGGAUAGGUGGGAGGCUUUGAAGCGUGGACGCCAGUUCGCGUGGAGCCAUCCUUGAAAUACCACCCUGGCAACUUUGAGGUUCUAACUCAGGUCCGUUAUCCGGAUCGAGGACAGUGUAUGGUGGGUAGUUUGACUGGGGCGGUCUCCUCCUAAAGAGUAACGGAGGAGUACGAAGGUGCGCUCAGACCGGUCGGAAAUCGGUCGUAGAGUAUAAAGGCAAAAGCGCGCUUGACUGCGAGACAGACACGUCGAGCAGGUACGAAAGUAGGUCUUAGUGAUCCGGUGGUUCUGUAUGGAAGGGCCAUCGCUCAACGGAUAAAAGGUACUCCGGGGAUAACAGGCUGAUACCGCCCAAGAGUUCAUAUCGACGGCGGUGUUUGGCACCUCGAUGUCGGCUCAUCACAUCCUGGGGCUGAAGCCGGUCCCAAGGGUAUGGCUGUUCGCCAUUUAAAGUGGUACGCGAGCUGGGUUUAGAACGUCGUGAGACAGUUCGGUCCCUAUCUGCCGUGGACGUUUGAGAUUUGAGAGGGGCUGCUCCUAGUACGAGAGGACCGGAGUGGACGAACCUCUGGUGUUCCGGUUGUCACGCCAGUGGCAUUGCCGGGUAGCUAUGUUCGGGAAAGAUAACCGCUGAAAGCAUCUAAGCGGGAAACUUGCCUCAAGAUGAGAUCUCACUGGAACCUUGAGUUCCCUGAAGGGCCGUCGAAGACUACGACGUUGAUAGGUUGGGUGUGUAAGCGCUGUGAGGCGUUGAGCUAACCAAUACUAAUUGCCCGUGAGGCUUGACCAU
RNAcentral lists this ribosomal RNA (2894 nucleotides) under Pseudomonas siliginis. RNAcentral's name for it is "23S ribosomal RNA". It matches the Rfam family "Bacterial large subunit ribosomal RNA". The record is from RNAcentral. Lineage: Bacteria; Pseudomonadati; Pseudomonadota; Gammaproteobacteria; Pseudomonadales; Pseudomonadaceae.